This 253-nucleotide ribosomal RNA is filed under the name uncultured bacterium. RNAcentral describes it as "partial 16S ribosomal RNA". It matches the Rfam family "Bacterial small subunit ribosomal RNA", at positions 524 to 776 of the family's 1533-position model. The record is from RNAcentral.
UACGAAGGCCCCGAGCGUUAUCCGGAUUUAUUGGGCGUAAAGCGUUCAACGGCGGUUUUGAAAGUUUUGGGUGAAAUCUCUGCGCUCAACGCAGAUCCCGCCCGCAAUACUUCAAGACUUGAGGGUGGAAGAGGCAAGCGGAACUACAGGUGUAGUAGUGAAAUGCGUUCAUAUCUGUAGGAACACCAAUAGCGAAAGCAGCUUGCUGGUACACACCUGACGCUCAAGAACGAAAGCGUGGGGAGCGAAUGGG